This 798-nucleotide ribosomal RNA is filed under the name uncultured Staphylococcus sp. RNAcentral's name for it is "bacterial SSU rRNA". It matches the Rfam family "Bacterial small subunit ribosomal RNA", at positions 100 to 889 of the family's 1533-position model. Lineage: Bacteria; Bacillati; Bacillota; Bacilli; Caryophanales; Staphylococcaceae. The record is from RNAcentral.
GGACGUAACCACGUGGCAUAACCUACCUAUAGGACUGGGCAUAACUUCGGGAAACCCGGAGCUAAUGCCGGAUAAUAUUUUGAACCGCAUGGUUCAAAAGUGAAAGACGGUCUUGCUGUCACUUAUAGAUGGAUCCGCGCUGCAUUAGCUAGUUGGUAAGGUAACGGCUUACCAAGGCAACGAUGCAUAGCCGACCUGAGAGGGUGAUCGCCACACUGGAACUGAGACACGGUCCAGACUCCUACGGGAGGCAGCAGUAGGGAAUCUUCCGCAAUGGGCGAAAGCCUGACGGAGCAACGCCGCGUGAGUGAUGAAGGUCUUCGGAUCGUAAACUCUGUUAUUAGGGAAGAACAUAUGUGUAAGUAACUGUGCACAUCUUGACGGUACCUAAUCAGAAAGCCACGGCUAACUACGUGCCAGCAGCCGCGGUAAUACGUAGGUGGCAAGCGUUAUCCGGAAUUAUUGGGCGUAAAGCGCGCGUAGGCGGUUUUUUAAGUCUGAUGUGAAAGCCCACGGCUCAACCGUGGAGGGUCAUUGGAAACUGGAAAACUUGAGUGCAGAAGAGGAAAGUGGAAUUCCAUGUGUAGCGGUGAAAUGCGCAGAGAUAUGGAGGAACACCAGUGGCGAAGGCGACUUUCUGGUCUGUAACUGACGCUGAUGUGUGAAAGCGUGGGGAUCAAACAGGAUUAGAUACCCUGGUAGUCCACGCCGUAAACGAUGAGUGCUAAGUGUUAGGGGGUUUCCGCCCCUUAGUGCUGCAGCUACGCAUUAAGCACUCCGCCUGGGGAGUACGACCGC